This 780-nucleotide ribosomal RNA is filed under the name uncultured bacterium. RNAcentral's name for it is "bacterial SSU rRNA". It matches the Rfam family "Bacterial small subunit ribosomal RNA", at positions 117 to 913 of the family's 1533-position model. The record is from RNAcentral.
GUGAGGAACCUGCCUCAAAGAGGGGGACAACAGUUGGAAACGACUGCUAAUACCGCAUAAGCCCACGACUCGGCAUCGGGUAGAGGGAAAAGGAGCAAUCCGCUUUGAGAUGGCCUCGCGUCCGAUUAGCUAGUUGGUGAGGUAAUGGCCCACCAAGGCGACGAUCGGUAGCCGGACUGAGAGGUUGAACGGCCACAUUGGGACUGAGACACGGCCCAGACUCCUACGGGAGGCAGCAGUGGGGAAUAUUGCACAAUGGGGGAAACCCUGAUGCAGCGACGCCGCGUGGAGGAAGAAGGUCUUCGGAUUGUAAACUCCUGUUGUUGAGGAAGAUAAUGACGGUACUCAACAAGGAAGUGACGGCUAACUACGUGCCAGCAGCCGCGGUAAAACGUAGGUCACAAGCGUUGUCCGGAAUUACUGGGUGUAAAGGGAGCGCAGGCGGGAAGACAAGUUGGAAGUGAAAUCCAUGGGCUCAACCCAUGAACUGCUUUCAAAACUGUUUUUCUUGAGUAGUGCAGAGGUAGGCGGAAUUCCCGGUGUAGCGGUGGAAUGCGUAGAUAUCGGGAGGAACACCAGUGGCGAAGGCGGCCUACUGGGCACCAACUGACGCUGAGGCUCGAAAGUGUGGGUAGCAAACAGGAUUAGAUACCCUGGUAGUCCACACUGUAAACGAUGAUUACUAGGUGUUGGAGGAUUGACCCCUUCAGUGCCGCAGUUAACACAAUAAGUAAUCCACCUGGGGAGUACGACCGCAAGGUUGAAACUCAAAGGAAUUGA